Long non-coding RNA from Phyllopteryx taeniolatus (common seadragon), 11061 nucleotides. RefSeq lists it as uncharacterized. The record is from RefSeq and is a predicted model, not a curated record. The transcript has 3 exons. NCBI's taxonomy places the organism in Eukaryota, Metazoa, Chordata, Actinopteri, Syngnathiformes, Syngnathidae.
UUUGUUUUAUUGUUUUCCCCGAAAAGUCCCAAAAUUUGGACAUGCGUGCUUUCCAUCGGACAACUUACACACUGCACAUCACAAAGUUUCCCUAGCAGUUUGUUUACAAAAUAUCCGUUUUUUUAAUCUUGAGCCAAAACACAUAAAAAAUCUUUUUCUUUGUAUUAAAAAGAGAAAAAAAAUUCUACAGAUGUGCUUUUCGUGGAGCACCGGUGACCAUUUGCCGUUUUUUUGCUGUUUAUUUACAACAUUGACCAUAUGCAUACAUACACACUCGACAAUACAAAGUUGAUUUUGUUCAAAAUGUCGCCCUGUUCAGCAUGAAACGCUGUCUGGUGAAAAUUUUGUCAUCAGAAACACGAAAAUAUAUUUUUUGUUUUUAUCCAAAACACACAGAAAAUAUCUUCUGAUUAAAAAAAAAAAUAAUACUAAUAAUUUGGCAGACAUUUUUUUUGAAUGAAAUAUCAGCUCCUUCACUUCCUGUAUGCCUUUAAGCACUGUCCAACGAAAACCAUGUAUCGCCUAAUGUUUGGAGUCUUUUAAGCGUUCUCUGAAACACAAAGAUAAAUUACUGGAUAAAAUACCCCAAAACGAGCCAAAAGUUCUUGCUGUAUGUCUGAGAAUGAAGAUUUUGCCCCUCCGCCCUCUCUGUUUAAAACACGCGAGCCAUCAGUAUUGGGUCCAAAUAUUUCCCUGUCAGAUGAAGAGGAAGAGAUCCUCGGGCCUCCCGGGUGUGAAGUUGUUUUUCCCCACCAAAGAUUUGCGAGGGGCUGUCGUGUCCAACAACUCCUGUGUGAGAAUUUUAUGGAAAUAUUUUGUCUGUAUGCUCACAUAUAAUAAAAUACCCUGUUGAUACAGCAGUCAAGAUGAAAAGCGACAUAUUUCCAGUUUCACAUUAAGCUAAGAGUACUCCAGUGAUUUCCUUGCUGAUAUUUGGAUUAAUGGCAGGGGCCUGCUCCGAAAACCGCAAAGCCGUUAACGACUAUUUAAAGAAGUCAACUUUGAACUUGGUUGUCUGGUGUCGAUCGGACGACGAGAAUGUCGAGAGCCUCCGACGUCUUUGUAGUCCGUGUUUGUCCAAAGGCCCGGCGGAGUCGUCGGCUUCCCCGCGUACCCACAUCACUGACUUUUAUGGACCAUUUAGAAUUGAUGUGGCCGUUUGCUCUCGGCGAAGACAACCAUCUGAACAAACAAGAGGACGCCGUAACUCAAUUGCGUGAAUAUGGACUCCCUGCUCCUCCUCGGAUUCCCCGUCCCCGCAGGACCUCUUUUGGAAUAACUCAGACCCCGACGGACGGCCGACGGUUCACAUUUUCCACGAGGCAAGAACACCGAGACAGACCGUCGAAAUAUCCUGUCAAAUGAUCAACUCUCUCUCUCUCUCUGUAGAUUCUCAGUCAUCCAGGUCAUGCUAAUCCGCAAAGGUUGAAUCAAGGCAACUGGACUGUUCCUGUUUGUUGAAGACGGUUCACCUUUAAUCCAAAAGAAGAACUGAAGAAGCUUUUUGGGUAAAAGGGGAACCGGCUUCAACAAAACACAACAGUCCAGCUGCUUUGAUUCAACCUUCACGGAGAAUCAACUCAGUCGUAGUACAGAAGUGAGAAACCAAAAGCUAGUUAGCCAUCAAACAAGCCCAUCCAACCACCGACUGACCAGCCGACCGAACACUGACAGGAACAACGCAGCCGAAGGCCUGAGAUGGCCGAUAAACAAAAAGCAACCAACCGACCAAUCAACCGAAUAGCCAACCGAUGUAUCAACUAACCAAUCUACCAAAGCCCAAUCAACCUAAAACGCCUGUCGACCAGAACACGCGCAAACCACUAACUAACCAAUUCACACUAGCAACAAACCUACCAAACGGUUAACCAACUAAUCGGCAACAAAUCAACUAAUGCGCAAUCAUCCAAAAUUGGCCAUCAAGCAAUCUAUCAACGGACCUCUCAACCAAAACGUUAAAUGAAAGGCAGCCGACCAAUCAAUUUACAUCAGCAUCAAAAUCACUCAACAACUAAUUGAAAAGCAACCAACCAACUAAUCAACCAACUCGCCAACCAAUGUGUCAGCAACCCACCAGUUACAUCAGCAUCAAACCAACUAAACAAAUCAAGCAUCAACCAAUCCUCCAUAAAUGACUCAUCCUACCAACCAAUCAAUCACGAGCAACAAACCUACCAAACAGCUAACCAACAAUCUAUCAACUAACCAGCAAAUCAAAGUAGCAAGCAAGCAAUCCUAAAAUGAGCGUUAAACAAAAGGCACACCACCAACCGGUCGACCAAUCGACCAACCGGCGACAUCAACGACCAACCAACCAGUCGACCAAGCCGCCGCCCACAGUAACUUGUCAACCAAACUGAGCAAAACCACGUGCAACCCAACAAGCACCGAAACCUGCGAUUGCUGCCCGUCGUACUUGCUGCGGCGCGUGCAGAAGCUCGCUCGCGUCCUUCCCGAGACAAACGGGAUUAAAAUGGCCAAUCUGGAGCCGGGUCCAGUCCGCCUCAACAGCCCGGGGAAAGGGGGCGGACCCUUCCGUGCCGUGUUCACGCAGCCGUGUCACAUACCAUUUCGUCACGGCAAGCGCAAGCGUGUGUGUGUGUGUGUGUGUGUGUGUGUUGGGGGAAGAUGGCUGAGACGUGCUCACAUCUUAAUUGCAAUCGCUGCCCUUGAAAAAUGGGCCGUUUUGGUCCGGAUUUACACUGCAGAUCCCACAACAAGGGAAAUAAAAGCAAACAAUGUAGAGCAUCUGGUUGCACAAGUGUGCACACCCUCGUAACUGCAGACGUGGCUGAGUUCAGAAUGAACCCCAAAUAAAGUUCAGAUGCUAUACUAGUCUUUUCCAGACAUUUUUGGUGUGGCAUCUUACUUACAGCACAAGCCGAGAACUUUUAAUGUCUCAGACGGAGACUCGGUCAUAAGAAGGCUACAAGAGUGAGUAGACCCACAAAGAAGUAUCGGGACGUCAUGUCCAAAAAGACCCAAGAAAUGUUGUUGGUCCUGGGGAAAAUGUACUUUCGAUUGCAACCCUGCAAAGAAACGUCAGCCCCGGAAGACGGUUUGACCCGGCAACACGAAAUUGGUCGAACCCACCCAAAAAGUCUCAAGAAGCACAGAAAGCUGAACAUUUUGGUUCAAAGCUGAUAGGUUGGGCUCAUUUUAGCCAUUUAGGUUUGUCCCACCAAUUUAAUUCACUUUCAGAAGAGGCCUGUUUCGCAUCCGAUGAGAUCCGAUUCCAGACAUCAUUUUUUUGGGGCCCAUUUACAUCUCCCGUCCUCAAAAACUCACCCUUUUUUUCCCCUAUCCUGUUGAGAAUGUAUUCACUUGCACCCUCCUUCCCCUGGAAUUUUGGAAAAAACAAAUAAGUCCCCAGAGAUGUUUUUACUUAACACCAUGAAAUUUGGUAGACAUGUCUGUCACAAGCAGACCGCAAAAAAAAAAAAAAAAAAAGUCUCAAGAAGCUGUGCUAAAAAAGACAACAGGAAGUCUGCCAUGUUGGUUUGAAGAGGCCAUCUGUUGUUUUUCCUCUUUUAAAUGCCAAAUGAACCAGAAGCCCAGGGGGGAUCAAUACCACGCACGCACGCACGCACACACACACACACUUGUCCAGUUGAUAAAUAUUUGGAGUUUUCUAAUUGAAAUUGAAUGUGCGCUGCUUCAGUUCUGGGGGGUCUUGAAACACAUAUGGACACAUUGUGUGCCUGUCUGAUACACACACACACACACAGUUACACUUUAGGACAAAAGGAACCACUAUGAUGUGUGUGCGUGUGUUGCAAUUCCGUGUGUUGCGAUUGUAUGUGUGUGUGUGAGUUGUCAUUAUAUGUGUGCCACUAGUAAACUGUGUGUGUAGUGAUUGUUGGCACUUACACACACACACGAUGCAUACACAAAAGCAUGUUUGCAUGUGCACUCGGCGUGAACAAUUAAUGAACACGCACGCACGUGUUGUGCAGACAGUUGUUUCCAUUCUUCUCUAUUUUUUUUUUUUUUUUUGUAUCAUUAAGCAAGUGCAGCAUGUGUAGCGCACACGGAGGUUGUUGGCAUGUAGCGCGUUGCUGGCGUGUCGCAGCUCACGGAGGGCAUGUUGCGUGUUUAAGUGGCCGCAUGGCACUCUGGCGUCGCCCGAGAACUUCCGCAUUGAAGAGGAAGACGAAGGGGGGGGAGCCUUUGUAACGCUUUGAACGUCUAUCACGGGGAUUUGGUUCCAGACGCGCGCGCCACCGACGGUGAAAAUCCACGAUGUAGAGAGAACAUAUUCAAAAAAAAUAAUAUUUGCAGAUUUACCCCUCCCACAUGCUUUAAAACUCUUUCAAAUGCACUUUUUAAAGUAUUCCUUACAAUUCAUCUUAACAAAAAUCAUACUACCUUAGUGCUAACAUAUAGAGGGAAAUGCCAUAGACGAGCUAAUGGAAAUUAGCAUAGACAUUAUUCUAACCUUGAAACAACUGCUACUUGAACACGGCCGUAGCAGCAACGUACGUGAACAAAGCAUCCGACAAGAGUCACAGGUGAUUAUUCUUACAGGAAUGUUGAGGCACAGCGUGGCACCAGGCCGAGGGCGUGCGUCUUUCAAUUCGGACUUGCUUUUUCUUUGGCUUUUGGCGAGCAGCCGCGGUUAAGUUUUCUGCCACACUCUUACUUCGAGCAAACUCUGUCACUCGUUUUGCUCACAGGAAUAUAUUCUUUAUCCCCUGCAUUUCUAACCGUCUUCUUCGCGUGUGUAUACAUACACAGUACAUAUGGAUCUAUUAUCCUGCCCCCUGGUGGCCAAGACGCACACAUCACAGAGAAUUGCGCAAUGUUGAGAUUUUGGUUUCCAUUUUUUCUUGUUUGUUUGUUUUGCUUAUUCCAAAAGAAGGGCGGUGCACUUCUUCUUACACUUGUACUUGGCUUUAAACGUUGACUUUACAGUUUAUACAAGCUUUGAGAAAGCCACUCUUAAGCAGAAUAUGUAUUUAUUUUCUGUGAGUUCCUUUGUUGUUGUGGUUUUGAGCUUUAGUAACAUGUUGCUUGUUGUGAGUGCUUUCGUGUGUGUGUGUGUGCGCCCUGCAGGAAUUUUUGUGAGGGGGGCCACAAGUAGCAACACCAAAAUCAGCACCACACCGGAAAUCGUACGCGCACGUACACGCGCACACACACUAAAGCCCUCCUUGCUCUCGGCUCCUUAUUCUACUUUAUUCUACUUUAUUAUUUUAUUAUUAUUAUUAUUUGAACGUACAAUCCUGCGCUUUUUGCUUUGCCGUUAAAUGUGCUAAAUGCGAAUAAGUAAUUCAUAUUGUGACUUAAGUUUAAAUUUGGACAUCUAUUUAUGCCUUCACUAAUGUACAUUUUGUUACUUUAGCUGGAUUUUUUGUGUGUGCUCAAGGGUCACAUUUUUUUUAUUUUUUUUUUAUAAAAGAAAAAAAUAAGUUUAUUUUGAUUAAAAAAAAGUCAUUCUCAUUUACUGGCAUCAUUGAUAAUGUAAUUAUUCACAAAACAAUUAUUAGCGAAAAUACAUUUCAAAUGUAAAAUACAAAACUGUUUAUUUUACUAAGAUUGUUUUUUUGUUUUGUUUUUAGUAUUACUGAAGAUAAAUCAUUCACAAAUCAAGUUAAUCAAUAAUGAAUACAUGCAUUUUAAUUAACUAUUUUUAUGGCACACACACACACACAAACUUGAUGCAAGGACCGUUGAAAAUGUAAAAUGCUCCAGUGGGACGGAUUUAAAAUAAUAAUUUGUAAAUAAAAAAUGAGUGGGCUGUGUGUGGCCCAUGGACCAUACUUUGCCCAUCCCUGACAUAAAUCUUGAAAAAAAAAAAAAAAAAAAAAAGUAUUGACCAAAACGUUUUCCUGAACGAAUUUAAAGUGACAUUUCUUUUUGCACAUAAAAACCGCGGCUCAACAUGACUUUUUCAUCCCUUGUGUGGCCGUCACUCGUUCAUUUUCCACUUCAAAGUAAUUUAAGAGGGGAAACAAAAACCCACGGAGUCCCGCGAGGGUCGUCACGUGCUUGUUUGCUUGCCUUUUAUGAGCAAAACGUUUCAAAUUCAAAGGAAAGUUGCUUACAAAUGGCGCUGUCGUCCACCUGCAGCAAAGCGAAUCUACUGUGUUGAUGAAGGCGCUCCAGGCCCAGAUGGACGAGCGCCGACAUUCCCGUCGCGUCCACGAAGGCAACAUUUGCCCGUCCCGAUGGAGGUCCGACAUGCAAUAAUCCGCUCCGGUCGGCCGGGAUCGGGCUCGGGCCCGGACGGGGUCCCCUUAGGACCUGGGCGGCUUUCAUCUCAAUGUGAGUCAGGAGUUGAUUCAAACGUGGACUGAUGGGAGAAUUAACCCCCGGGACCCAGCUUUCAAUGGGCUCAGCCGAGAGAUUAUGUGUGUUGAUGGCAGCCUUUUAUAUGCGAGCACAACUUAGCCUCUGUCCACACCUACGACACCAUUAUUUGGAAAAACUUACUUUACUGGGCCACACCGGGAGCAGUUUCUUUUUUUUGUUUUUUUUUUUUUGUUCGACAAUUCAUGUAAAAACAUAUUUUCUGGCUGUCAAGUGCACGCCAGAGCAGCAGGUGGCGCUAAAACGUAUGACGCUGACCUGUACCUACCAAAUUUCCACUUGAGGACCAUUUUGGCUAUUUCCGGCGGUGUCAAAGAUAAAUUCCUUGUGGAGAUUUCGUCUGAUUGCUAUCAAAAUUGAGCCUCGUACAUGAGACAGACUGACAACGCUGAAUUGGGAAGAAGUUCAGGUUUUCUCAUUGAAGUGUCGUCGGCGCAUGUCGGCAAAGUUUCCCGACGGGCCACAAAAUACGAAACCGAUGACGUCGCAAAGUGAGGCAUUUUCUUUUUUCACGAAUAUUCUGUUGAAACUCGGCCCUCCUCCGACGCGAAGUGCGCUACGUGACAAAUGUGGCGGUCCUUGGCGCAAUCGCGAGGCAGACCUCUUUUUUUUUUUUUUACAAAAAUCCCGCUUGCAUCCUUUGGUUUCGGCGCGAGAGCCAAACCCCAAAUAAAAGGCACGCUCGGGCCAAAACCACAAAGUUGAAGUCCAACAUGGCCGCCAAGCCAAGGGAGGAAGAGGAAAGGAAGAACAACAGAAAUAGACCUGCGUGUUUGUCAUCAGUAAAUCAAUCAUUUCAAUCGAUUAACGCUCAAGUACGUAACCCGAGUGUUGUCUACGAGCAGCAGCUAGCAUCCAAAUAUUAGCGACGACAUCAGAGCAUUUUGUUUUGAAGCGGCCGUUUCGGUGUCAUUUUGGUCACAUCCCCUUCAAAAGCGAACCCGCUCCUAGAUUUUAGGAAAAUUCAGCGCCCGCAGUCAAUUUCGCUUAAGAAAAUGAGAUUUGUUAGACAUGUCAUUCAUGAGUCGAGCGAGAAAAAAAAAGUGCAGAAUGUCUGCCGUUUUGGUUUAUCGUCUUCACCGUUUGUCUUCAAAAGCCAACUUGUCGCUGGACUUCUUCCCAGGAUUCAGCCCCUGGAGCCACUUCCACUUAGGAAAAUGAUAUUUUGGAGACACGUUUGUCACGAGUAGACCCAGGAACAAGUCUCAAGAAGCCAUGCCCGGAAAGACAUUUUGAUUUGAAGCCUCCGAUUUGGAGUCGUCUCGGCCAUUUCCCGACAAUAGUGAACUUGUCCAUGGAUUUCUUUAGGAAAUUCAGUGGCCGGAGCCAAUCACAAUGAGAAAAAUCAUACUUGGUAGACAUGUUUGUCACGAGGAGACCCAGCAAAAAGUCUCGAGAAGCCACAGGAAGUCUGCCGUUUUGGUUUGAAGUGGCCAUUUUGGCCAUUUCCACCGCUAAUAGUACUUUUUCCCGGUCCUUCAGAGACGGACUUGCCCGAGAGAUUUGAUCCGACUGCUCCUAAAAUUUCAAUGACACAAUAUAUACGAGACAAAUGGGCAAUGCUAAAUUGUAAAUCGUUUGCAUUUUCAUCAUUACGUUUGGGUGGAGCAUGGCGGUUGAAUUUGCUGACUCGCCAUUGUUUAUUGUAGUUUUCGUUUUGUGUUAUUGUGACUGAAAGCGAGGCGCAAAUGGUGCAAAUUUGCCGUUUUCAAAUGAGUCAUCAAAGACAUAAGAAGUGUCUUGUGUGCGGUACACAUGUUUGUGUGAGAGAGGUCUUUGUUUCGGGGGGGGGGGGGGGGGGUUGUCUGCGUCUGUGUUUGAUUUUGACCCGAUUGAAACCCAAAACUCGGGAAAAGCUGACAAAACACGACGUUCACCAGGUGGUUAAUGAGCGAGCAGAAAUGACCAGUUGACCAGCAUCGUAUUGACGAGCCCACUGUGAUGCGCCCCCCAAACUUCAGUCCGUCGCCCGGACCCCCAUCUGCAAGAUAUUACACACCCCACUCCAAGGGGGGGGGAAAAAAAAAAAACAGUGUUUGUUGAACAUGUGCAACAGACGGGUGGUCCCAUGAUAACGCCGUACGUCUUCAUGAUGUCUCCGAGUUGGAGACGCGACUGCACAUCCUUUCAAGCCUCGGUUUGGAUACAUUUAUCGUAUGAAAAAGUAUCAAUUGAAAUACUCGUAUCAUUUAGAAAACAUAAAUCUUCACACUUGUUUAAAAAUAUGAAAGAAGUAAAAAAAUAUAAAACCAGAAAUAUUUUUUCAAAAGUUACAACACGCCUUAAUUUCAAUACAAUCAUACAUUAAAAAAAUUUUUUUAAAUGUUAUAAAAAAAUAAUAAAUCAAUUACAAAUAUAUACAAUUCGUUAGAUAGAAAAUAUACAUAUUAAAUACAAAUGGUCUUCCUCUUUUCCUUUGGGCUUGUCCCUUUAGGGGUCGCCACAGCGCGUCAUCCUUUUCCAUGUCAGCCUAUCUCCUGCAUCCUCCUCUCCAACACCAACUGCCCUCAUGUCUUCCCUCACGACACCCAUCAACCUUCUCCUUGGUCUUCCUCUGGCUCUCUUGCCUGGCAGCUCCGUCCUCAUCAUCCUUCUACCAAUAUACUCCCAAUUUCUCCUCUGGACGUGUCCUAACCAUCCAAGUCUGCUCUCUCUCACUUAGUCUCCAAAACAUCGAAGCUCGGCUGUCCCUCUGAUGAGCUCAUUUCUAAUUUUAUCCAACCUGGUCACUCCGAGAGCGAACCUCAACAUCUUCAUUUCCGCCACCUUCAGCUCGGCUUCCUGUUGUCACUGCAAACGGGAAGGGGCUCAGGGCUGAUCCCUGAUGCAGUCCCACCUCCACCUUAAAUUCCUCCACUUUUCCAUCAACAUCCUCAAGGCAAAUAAUGCAUCUGUGGUACUCUUUCUAGUCAUGAAACCAUACUGCUGCUCGCAAAUACUCACUUCUGUCCUGAGUCUAGCCUCCACUACUCUUUCCCAUAACUUCAUUGUGUGGCUCAUCAACUUUAUUCCUCUAUAGUUGCCACAACUCUGCACAUCACCCUUGUUCUUAAAAAUGGGCACCAACACACUUUUCCUCCAUCCUCAGGCAUCUUCUCACACGCUAGAAUUCUAUUGAACAAGCUGGUGAAAAACUCCACAGCCACCUCUCCUAGAUGCUUCCAUACCUCCACAGGAAUGUCAUCAGGACCCACUACCUUUCCAUUUGUCAUCCUCUUUAAUGCCUUUCUAACUCCACCCUUACUAAUCAUUGCCACUUCCUGGUCCACCACACUUGCAUCUUCUACUCUCCCUUCCUUCUCAUUUUCCUCAUUCAUCAACUCCUCGAAGUAUUCUUUCCAUCUAUCUAGCGCACUACUGGCACCAGCCAACACAUUUCCAUCUCUAUCCUUAAUCACCCUAACCUGCUGCACAUCCUUCCCAUCUCCAUCCCUCUGUCUGGUCACCCUGUAUAGAUCCUUUUCUCCUUCUUUAGUGUCCAACCUGGCAGACCAGUCAUCAAAUGCCUCUUGUUUGGCCUUUGCCACCUCUACCUUUGCCCUAUGUCGCAUCUCAAUGUAUUCCUUUCGCCUCUCCUCGGUCCUCUCGGUGUCCCACUUCUUCUUCGCUAACCUUUUUCCUUGUAUGCUUUCUUGAACUGCAAGGUUCCACCACCAAGUCUCCUUCUCUCCUUUCCUGCCAGAAGAUACACCAAGUAUCCUGCCUGCCUCUCUGAUCACCUUGGCUGCAGUGGUCCAGUCUUCUGGAAGCUCCUCCCGUCCACAGAGAGCCUGUCUCACCUCUUCCCGAAAAGCUGCACAACACUCGUCCUGUCUCAGCUUCCACCACAUGAUUCUCUGCCUUUGUCUUCUUAAUCUUCCUCCCCACCACCAGUCAUCUUACACUCUCCCCUACCACUACCUUACAGUCGGUAACCUCCUUCAGAUGACAUCGUCUGCACAAGAUGUAAUCCACCUGCGUGCUUCUAUCUCCACUCUUGUAGGUCACCCUAUGUUCCUGCCUCUUCUGGAAAAAAGUGUUCACUACAGCCAUUUGCAUCCUUGUUGCAAAGUCUACCACCAUCUGUCCCUCCAAGUUCCUUUCCUGGAUGCCGGGACUUACCCAUCACUUCUUCAUCACCCCUAUUUCCUUCACCAACAUGUCCAUUACAAUCUGCACCAAUCACGACUCUCUCUCUGUCCGGGAUGCUCAGAACUACUUCGUCUAGCUCCUUCCAGAAUUUCUCUUUGACCUCUAGGUCACACCCUACCUGUGGGGCAUAGCCACGAAUCACAUUACACAUAACACCCUCAAUUUCAAGUUUCAGCCUCAUCACUCGAUCUGAUACUCUUUUCACCUCCAAGACAUUCUUAGCCAACUCUUCUUUUAAAAUAACCCCGAAUCCAUUUCUCUUCCCAUCUACACAUUAGGUCAAAUAAUUUCAACCCUGCCCCUAAACUUCGAGCCUUACUGCCUUUCCACCUGGUCUCCUGGACACACAAUAUAUCAACCUUUCUCCUCAUCAUCAUGUCAACCAACUCCCAAGAUUUUCCUGUCAUAGUCCCAACAUUCAAAGUCCCCACAUUCAGUUCUAGGCUCUGUGCUUUCCUCUUCUCUUUCUGCCGAAGAACCCGCUUUCCACCUCUUCUUCUUUGACUUCAACCCACAGCAGCUGAAUUUCAACAACAAAUACUGUAUACAAUUUCAUUGAAACAAAAUAGUACAGUAAUACCAAAAUAACAAUAAAAAUAUUUAAAAAUUGAAUUUGAA